AUGAAGGUAAUGGGAGAGAUACAAUUUUGUACACCGAAGAAGUUAAUCUUUCAGGUUUCCUAAUUUUAGGAUGAAGACCGUUACUGGACG
Molecule: non-coding RNA, 90 nt
Filed under: Clostridium botulinum
Lineage: Bacteria; Bacillati; Bacillota; Clostridia; Eubacteriales; Clostridiaceae
Also listed under: 1 other name
Description: Glycine sequence
Rfam family: Glycine riboswitch aptamer
About the family: This family represents the bacterial glycine riboswitch. Glycine riboswitches usually consist of two metabolite-binding aptamers domains with similar structures in tandem. The aptamers cooperatively bind glycine to regulate the expression of downstream genes.
Source: RNAcentral